Non-coding RNA from Leptidea sinapis, 71 nucleotides. The record is from the annotation of a RefSeq genome assembly. Lineage: Eukaryota; Metazoa; Arthropoda; Insecta; Lepidoptera; Pieridae.
GGACGGUUCGCUCAGUGGAAGAGCGUUCGGACGGUACCCGAAAGGCGCGGGUUCGAGUCCCGCAUCGUUCA